GGGGAUGUAAUGGUUUCGACAUAUGCAGGUAUUUGUAAGUGGCAGUAGUGUGGUUCACUUUAAAAACUACUAGGUUUUAAUAAACGGAAAAUCUGAAAAAGUUUCAUCAUCAAUGAUGGUACAAAACCAAACCUUUGCUUACGCAUUUUAAUUAGCGACAAAGUCAUCAUCCAAAACUCCUUUAUUGGAAUGAUGGGUCUAAAGGAUAGUGCAUAAUGUGGCUCCUUAUGCAUGAAGAUUGCCAAAGUAAUAAAUUAGAUUUUGUUUGUUUUUAGAUUUAUUUACUUAUUGAAAAUAAACUAAACUGUAGAAGCUUAUUCUUAUUUGUGUGUGGACACGGGUUCGACUCCCGUCAUCUCCACCA
Molecule: transfer-messenger RNA, 364 nt
Filed under: Mycoplasmopsis columboralis
Lineage: Bacteria; Bacillati; Mycoplasmatota; Mycoplasmoidales; Metamycoplasmataceae
Also listed under: 1 other name
Description: Mycoplasma columborale transfer-messenger RNA
Rfam family: transfer-messenger RNA
About the family: Bacterial tmRNA, also known as 10Sa RNA or SsrA, is named for its dual tRNA and mRNA-like properties. Its role is to liberate the mRNA from a stalled ribosome.
Source: Rfam by way of RNAcentral